AGCCAGAAAGAACACUCUUAGCACCCUACAAGCAGGUAUGUGCUUACCAGCAAACUAAAGCAAAUGGAAAUUAAGAAGCAUGAUCACCACCAGCAAGGUGCUGCUGAACUAUAAGCCUUCAGAUGGUCAGAUAAAGUACCUGAUGCUGAAAAACAGGAAAUUGAAUCAUGUCUCCAAAAUGUGCCUUUUGUCAUGCACUGUUACAGCUAUAUUUCUUGCUCUUUAGGCCUUAAUGAUUGACAUGAUCUUGGAAAACAGGUAUGUAGCAAAACUCUCCUAGAAACCUGAAAGAUGUGGCAAGAAGAAAACAUGGAGCCUUUUCUGAACAAGCCUAUGAGAGAAGAAGAAUCACUUCAAUUUAUUAAGUGUGGAUUCUGGGGCUAAAGAACUUACCUACAACCACACAGCCAGCAAAUUACUGACCCAGCAUAUUCUGAACCCAGGUCUUUAUUCUUUCCAAAACUUCACAGCACCUUCCUCAGAGCAUCUCUACAUGAAAAUCUGUAUAAAGAAGUGAUCUGUGGUGUCGCCAUUUGUAUCAAAAUGGUAUCACAAACUUAUUUAAAAGGCUUCAUCUAAAAGUCUUCAGAGUUUUGGCCAGGGAAGAGCUCUAAUAUCACACAUUAAUAACCUUACCUUUGUAACAUGUAAAUUGUUUUUUGUUUUAACAUCUCAGUUUCAUUAAACUGAGACCAGAAAGAGCCAUCAUCUUUUUACCAAUUUGUAAUCAUUUUAUUGUGUUAUGGACCUGCAGCAAUGCUGACUAUAUUUACAAAUCUGUGAGUGAAAUUUUAAAACCAUUUUCCUCUUCUAAUCUCUCCCAUCCUGCCUUCUUAGAAGCACACAAAGCAUCUCAACCACUCCCAAAUUCCCUGUUGGAAUACCCUUAAUGAUUCUGAAAUAUUUUGUU
RNAcentral lists this long non-coding RNA (910 nucleotides) under Homo sapiens (human). RNAcentral describes it as "HSALNT0302594". Lineage: Eukaryota; Metazoa; Chordata; Mammalia; Primates; Hominidae. The record is from RNAcentral.